This 633-nucleotide long non-coding RNA is filed under the name Rattus norvegicus (Norway rat). RNAcentral's name for it is "long non-coding RNA NONRATT020896". The record is from RNAcentral. Lineage: Eukaryota; Metazoa; Chordata; Mammalia; Rodentia; Muridae.
CCCUCCCACCGCUAUUUUCCUCCCUCCCCCGCCCCCUUUUCGUUUCCGGCUCUCCCGCCUUCUCCGCAAAACGACUGCUCAUUGAGGCUAUUGGGGAGGGGGCGGGGAGGAAAAGUGGGCGUGGAGGAAUUGGGGUUCCCGGGAGCACGAGCCGCAGCACCACUUCCGGUGCAUGCCCGCGCGCCCGGCCUCGCGUCCCCUGUCCCGCGCCCUGCGAGCCCUCCCACUCCCUCGGCUCCUUCCUUUCCCAGUGAACGCCGCCCCUCCCGCGCGCUGGCUCUGGCGCUGGCGCCGGCGCCGUCGCCGCCGCCUGAAAGUUCAGGAGCCCUGGAAAGGAGAAGGAAUAAGACGACAGGAGGAAGAGAGAGAGAGGGGAGAAUGGAAGAGUCUCACUUCAAUUCUAACCCGUACUUCUGGCCUUCUAUCCCCACGGUCUCAGGGCAGAUUGAAAACACUAUGUUCAUCAACAAGAUGAAGGAUCAGCUGUUGCCAGAGAAGGGCUGUGGACUGGCACCACCUCACUAUCCCACUUUGCUGACAGUGCCUGCCUCAGUGUCCCUGUCCUCUGGCAUCAGCAUGGACACAGAGUCCAAGUCAGAACAGCUGACCCCACACAGUCAGGCAUCUGUUACC